AAAGUUGAACAUCAGCAGGAAGGAUCUGUGUGUUGUCAUCAAAAUGGUAAUUAUGCCUUCAUAGGAAAAUUUGGUAGGAAAAUAGUAAUGCCUGUUUUUGGGGGAAAGGGAGGUGUGCACUAAAAGGAGUUUGGACCCAUUCCUGGGAGUGGUUUCCUCAGGACAGACUAUUAGUAAGUCUCUUCCCUCACCUAAGAGACUAAGAGCAGGCACAUGGGGCUUUUUGCUUGGCUGGAGA
This 238-nucleotide long non-coding RNA is filed under the name Homo sapiens (human). RNAcentral's name for it is "HSALNT0015407". Lineage: Eukaryota; Metazoa; Chordata; Mammalia; Primates; Hominidae. The record is from RNAcentral.